GAUGAACGCUGGCGGCGUGCCUAAUACAUGCAAGUCGAGCGAACAGACGAGGAGCUUGCGCCGCUGACGUUAGCGGAGGACGGGAGAGAAACACGUGGAUAACCUACCUAUAAGACUGGGAACACUAGGGGAAACCGGAGCAAAUACCGGAGAAUAUAUUGCACCGCAUGGAUCAAUAGAAAGAGUCGGCGUUGGGGGCACUACUAGAUGCAUCCGCGCCGCAUGAGCUAGUAGGGAAGGUAAAGGCUUACCACGGCAACGAGGCGUAGCCGACGUGUGUGGGUGAUCGGCCGCACGGGAACUGAGACACGGUCAUGACUCCUACGGGAGGCAGCAGUAGGCAACGGGCCGCAGUGGGCGAAAGCUUGACGGAGCGAGGCGGCGUGAGUGAUGAAGGUCUUCGGAUCGUAAUGCUCGGUUAUUAGUGAUGAACAAAUGUGUAAGUAACUAUGGACGUCUUGACGGUACCGAAUCAGAAAGCCCCGGCUAACUACGUG
RNAcentral lists this ribosomal RNA (497 nucleotides) under uncultured bacterium. RNAcentral's name for it is "partial 16S ribosomal RNA". It matches the Rfam family "Bacterial small subunit ribosomal RNA", at positions 28 to 507 of the family's 1533-position model. The record is from RNAcentral.